GCAGCCGCGGUAAUACGUAGGUGGCAAGCGUUGUCCGGAUUUACUGGGUGUAAAGGGCGCGUAGGCGGGAAAGCAAGUCAGGUGUGAAAUCUAUGGGCUCAACCCAUAAACUGCACUUGAAACUGUUUUUCUUGAGUGUCGGAGAGGUUGACGGAAUUCCUAGUGUAGCGGUGAAAUGCGUAGAUAUUAGGAGGAACACCAGUGGCGAAGGCGGUCAACUGGACGAUAACUGACGCUGAGGCGCGAAAGCGUGGGGAGCAAACAGGAUUAGAUACCCC
RNAcentral lists this ribosomal RNA (278 nucleotides) under uncultured bacterium. RNAcentral describes it as "partial 16S ribosomal RNA". It matches the Rfam family "Bacterial small subunit ribosomal RNA", at positions 511 to 788 of the family's 1533-position model. The record is from RNAcentral.